UCCAUGGCCACUGCCAUCUUUGUGGGGUUAAUUUGCAUACUUUCCCUGAUUGGCUGGUGGGUAUAGCAGAGGGAUGGUCAAUUUGCAUGUUUUCCUUUUAUUAGUGUAGAUUAUUAUAGAUGAAGUGGUGGUCUGUAUCUUGUCAUAACAAAGGAUAGUGAUUUCUUACUGAGGGUAAAAUACUGUGUUUAUAAACAAUAGCAUUCUCAAAGGCUAGGUAGUUGUUAUUUGUCUGUAUAAGUCUAAACUUUAUUCUUUGAUAUUUCUCCCAAGUUUUUAUUUUGAAAAAUUUCAGAUGACAGAAACAUUGCAAGAAUAGUACAAAAUACACCUGUACAUCCUUCACUUGGAUCACUUGUUAUCAGUAUAUAGCCACUUUGCUUUUUCUUGCUUUCCCAAAGCACAGGCACACAAUGAAUGUAUGUACAUAAACAUUUGGUUUUUGCUAAAUCAUUUAAGAUUAAGCUAUAGAAUUAUGGUGAUUCAGCCAUAAACACGUUAGCCAGUAUCUCCUAAGAGUAAGGAUAUAACUCAUUUGUCACACCCCAUUUAACAUUGAUAACAAUACUGAUACCUAAUAUAGAGUCUCUCUUUAAUUUUCCCCAGGUAUCCUAAUAAUGUGUCCUUUGUAGUUAUGUUUUUUAAAAUAACAGCUUUAUUAUGAUAUAAUUCACAUACCAUACAAUUCACCUUUUAAAGUGUACAAUUCAGCCCUGAGCAGUGGUUAGAGUGUGGGCCCAUGCACCAAAGGGUUGUGGGUUUGAUUCCUGAUCCCAGUAGGGGUGUAUGUGGGAGGCAACCAAUCAAUGUUUCUCACAUCAAUGUUUCUCUCUCCCCCGCUUCCUACCCGCCACUCUCUAAAAGGCAAUGGAAAAAAUAUCCUCUGGUGAGGAUUGACAGCAACAACAAAAAGUGUACAAUUCAGUGGGUUUUCCUAAAUUCAGAGUUGUGCUACCAUUGCCACAAAUCAGUUUUAAAACAGUUUUAUUACCCUAAGAGGAAACUCUAUGUGCCAUGAGCAGUCACUUCCCUUCCCUACCCUAACUUCUAGCCCUGGGCAACCACUAAUCUAUUUUCUGUCUCUCUAGAUUUUUUUCUUUCUGGGCAUUUCAUAUAAAUACAGUAAAACCUCAACGUAACGGACUAAUUCAGAUGCGGGGUAUCUGUUAAAACUGAAAGUUCGUUAUAUAAUAGAGUAGGUUUUCCGAAUGCAUGUUAACAAAACUGACAAAUUAGUUUACCUGUUUUUAUUGAUGUAGAUAAUUUGUGAAUUUAAAAUUAUGUAUGAAAAUUUUAAUUUCAUGUAGAAGUUUUCUAUAUGUAUUACAGCAAUUAAAAAUUUAUAUUGAAUAGAUCACUGCGAGUAAAUAAAUGCUAGAACAUUGGCUAGCAUGCAUUAAAACUGCUGCAGAAAGUCAUGCCAUGCAACAACAGAACCAAUUACCACUUGCAAUGUGGUGCGAUCAUGUGCUAAUCAUUUGCUGAACGUUGUUUACUAGCGGCGACUCUUGGAUAUAAAUAUGUAGACUGUAGUUGUAGAUGUGUAAUAUUUAAUUAUGUGAAAUUACUACAGAUUUUCCCAACAUUUGGCCUAUCUGCCUAAAUUUGUUGAAAAUAACAGUGAAUUAAUAACAAAUGAAAAUGACCUGUUAAUUUAAUUAUAAGCAAAUAUAGGUUAAAAGUAUUUUCAAAUUAACAGGGCAUUAAUUUUUGCAUAUGACGUGUGGACCAGAAAUUUUGUUUGUUAAAUCGAAAGUCUGUUAAAUUGAAGUCUGCAAAAUCGAGGGUUUACUGUAUAAUCAAUCAUACAAUAUGUGAUCUUUUGUAACUGAUUUCUCUCACUGUAAUGAUUUCGAGGUUCAUCUAUAUUGUAUUAUGUAUAAGUACUUAAUUCCUUUUAUGGCUGAAUAAUAUUAUAUGGAUAUACCACAUUUUGUUUAUCUCUUCAUCAGUUGAUGGAUAUUUAGGUUAUUGCCACUUUUGGCUAUUAUGAAUAAUGAAUGUUUUUAUGAAUGUUGGUAUACAAGUAUUUUUUUAUUUUUAGAUUUAUUGGGUCAACACUGGUUAACACAGUUAUACAGGUUUCAGGUGCACAGAUCUACAUCAGGUAUUUGAUGGACAUAGGGCAUAUAAUGAGUGGAAAUGCUGAGUCCUAUGGUAACUCCAUAUUUAACCUUUUUUAAAAAUUGAUUUUUAGAGAGAGGGAGGAAGAAAGAGAGAGAAACUGAUGAGAGAGAGAAACAUUGAUCGACUGCCAGUAUUUUGCAGAAUAUCCUUUAACUUGGAUUUGUCUAAUGGUCUCCUUAUAAUUGGAUCCAGGUUAAACAUUUUUGUCAGGAAUUCUUUAUAUAUAGUGUGUUUUCCUUAUUAUAUCAGUGGUAUAAUAAGGUACUCAAUACCAGUUUGUCCCAUUAUUGAUGAUUUGAAUUAGAUAAUUAAAAUGUGAGAUUUCUCCCUUGUAAAGAUACCCUUUCCCCUUUGUAAUUAACAAGUAAUCUGUGGGGUGAUAUUUGAGACUGGGAAUAUCCUAUUUUCAAUAGUUUUGCAUCCAGUGUUAGUGUUCAUUGAUGAUUCUUUGAAUAAUUUAUUUUCAUUUUUGGGGGGAUAUGUUCUUUGUUAUUGAUUUUAGAGAGACGGGAAGAGAGGGAGAGGGAGAGAAACAUCCAUUGGCUAUCUCCUGCAUGCCCCUGACCAGGGUUCGAACCUGCACCCAGGCAUGUGGCCCGACCGGAAAUUGAACUGGCGACCCCUUGGGUCAUUUCUAGAAGUGAGACUUCUAGAGAAUGUGCAUCCCCCAUUGUGAUAGCUAUUCCUCACUAAAGCGAUGGUGCUGAUGUAUGUUCCUGCCUAGCCAUGAGGGGAGUGCCUGCUCGCCCUCUUUUUUGCCAAUCUGGUUCCAGAAACUCACUAGAACCAGCCUGUGCAGAAAGGGGGAUGUCCCAGAACCCAAGCGCAGUUGGGCCUCACAAGGAUUACCUUUGGGACAAGAGACUGAAGUCUGCAGGAGGAGGACCUGCCUUACCUGGGCAUCUGAAUGACAGUUGUUAAGUGAAGUAGUUCUACCGUUGAUCUGGUAAGAGAAUGUCAGCUUCUGUUCCCUGGCUUCCGCCCAGGCUUCCAAGGCCCCCACCCAGUGUCGGCUACAGGGACAGCCUGUGCAGAGGCAGGCUGCAGGACCCUGUGACCUCUCCCGGAAGCAUUCUGGCUUGGUGUGACCAUCAAGAAUGAAACGGGAUGACCAGGUUUCUAGUUAGAGUUCAUGAAGUUCUCAGUGACUCGUAUAGCAAGGUGCAGAAACAAAGCUGUGGGACUCACUAAUUCUUCUAAGUGGAAUCUGGCAAAUGGUGCUUGGACAACUGGACAUUCACAUACAAAAAUUAACAAUAACAACUGUUGACAAGAUGUGGAGAAGCCAAACCCCAACUGCUGGUGGGAAUGUAAAUGGUGCAGACACUUUGGGAAACAGUCCGGCAGUUCCUCAAAAGGUUAAACACAGUUACCAUUUGACCUUGCAAUUCCACUCCAAGGUAACAGAAAUAGCUUCUAUUUGUGAAUACUGGAGUUUAAAAGUAGGAAACUGGCAUUUGAAGCCUAUGCUACAAGUUUACUGGUCAUUUCAAUUUCAAAGGUAUGUAAGAAACACACUUUAUUGCAAUUGGACAGUUCCCAUAGAUUAAAGGUUUCUUCUGAGAAUGUAUUUCAUUAAUCAACUUUUAUGGCUUCCACUGUGAUGCUCCUCUAAGCCAAGAAGUGCCAAAGCUGAUGCCAAGUGAAUUGCCCUCUCACAGUAAGGGAACAAAAUAUUCCAACUCAGAUUAAACAGACAUACCUAAAGAACAAUGAGAUACAGCUCCACUCUGCAGGUGUCAGGUUUCCAGUUUUUAACGAAUUUAUGUAAACUUUACCAUAACUUCUUAGGCAUUCAAAAAUUAUCCAUUUUUAUUUUGGAGAAGCCCCAACUGAUACUGUUUCCAAAUUAGUUUAAUUUUACUAGGAACACUGCAAACAAUUUUAUCGUUUUGGAAACCCCUCAAAAAGUUAUAUUUAAAAAACCACCCCAGAGCCCUGGCCAGUGUUGCUCAAUGGUUACAGUGUCG
Long non-coding RNA from Myotis myotis, 4097 nucleotides. RefSeq lists it as uncharacterized. The transcript has 7 exons. NCBI's taxonomy places the organism in Eukaryota, Metazoa, Chordata, Mammalia, Chiroptera, Vespertilionidae. The record is from RefSeq and is a predicted model, not a curated record.